Synchiropus splendidus (mandarinfish) is the source of this 473-nucleotide long non-coding RNA. RefSeq lists it as uncharacterized. The transcript is spliced from 3 exons. The record is from RefSeq and is a predicted model, not a curated record. Lineage: Eukaryota; Metazoa; Chordata; Actinopteri; Syngnathiformes; Callionymidae.
UAAAAAUGGAGGAGAGUGUGCGGUGUAAUUCCAAACUCUGUGGCGUAUUGUGUUUCUCUCUCACACCGGUCACUAACCAAGUGUUUCAGAGUGUGUGUCAGAGCCAGUACAGUUCACCACAGGCCUGGUCCCCACUAAACGACACACAACUGUCGGAGGAAAUCCAUCACGUGGAACUAUGCUGUGACUUCUUUUCUCUGCGGUGCGCAGCGUAACAGAAUGGAUCAGCUCGUGCUGUUGCUCAGACAAGACGGAGCCCAGUCCAGCUGCGGGGUGACUCUCCCGGAGUAAAGGACAGCAAGUCUGGGACGUCCUCAGUGAUGGAGCCGCUUCCUGUCCGAGCCCUUCCUAAUGGAGAGAGCAGCAACGUUUGCCGCCGAUGUUUCAGCCUUUGAUAAUGACGACUUAUCCGAAAACUGUCUCUCGAGAAGCCGGAUUAAGUCUGAUAACUGUCAAGUGCAUUUGGCGUCACA